RNAcentral lists this unclassified non-coding RNA (345 nucleotides) under soil metagenome. RNAcentral describes it as "partial contains 5.8S ribosomal RNA, internal transcribed spacer 2, and large subunit ribosomal RNA". The stretch from base 1 to 120 matches the Rfam family "5.8S ribosomal RNA", at positions 35 to 154 of the family's 154-position model. The record is from RNAcentral.
GAUGAAGAACGUAGCGAAAUGCGAUACGUAAUGUGAAUUGCAGAAUUCAGUGAAUCAUCGAGUCUUUGAACGCACAUUGCGCCCCCUGGUAUUCCGGGGGGCAUGCCUGUCCGAGCGUCAUUGCUGCCCUCAAGCACGGCUUGUGUGUUGGGCCUCCGUCCUCCUUCCGGGGGACGGGCCCGAAAGGCAGCGGCGGCACCGCGUCCGGUCCUCGAGCGUAUGGGGCUUCGUCACCCGCUCUUGUAGGCCCGGCCGGCGCUUGCCGACACAUCAAUCUUUUUUCCAGGUUGACCUCGGAUCAGGUAGGGAUACCCGCUGAACUUAAGCAUAUCAAUAAGCGGAGGA